This 253-nucleotide ribosomal RNA is filed under the name uncultured bacterium. RNAcentral's name for it is "partial 16S ribosomal RNA". It matches the Rfam family "Bacterial small subunit ribosomal RNA", at positions 524 to 776 of the family's 1533-position model. The record is from RNAcentral.
UACGGAGGGUGCAAGCGUUAUCCGGAUUCACUGGGUUUAAAGGGUGCGUAGGUGGGCUGGUAAGUCAGUGGUGAAAUCUCCAGGCUUAACUUGGAAACUGCCAUUGAUACUAUCAGUCUUGAAUACCGUGGAGGUCAGCGGAAUAUGUCAUGUAGCGGUGAAAUGCUUAGAUAUGACAUAGAACACCAAUUGCGAAGGCAGCCGGCUACACGAAUAUUGACACUGAUGCACGAAAGCGUGGGGAUCAAACAGG